AAGUUUGAUCCUGGCUCAGGAUAAACGCUGGCGGCGUGCCUAAUACAUGCAAGUCGAACGAGGUUGUAGCAAUACGAUCUUAGUGGCGAAUGGGUGAGUAACGCGUUGGUGACCUGCCCGAAGAGGGGGAUAACAGUUCGAAAGGACUGCUAAUACCCCAUGUGGUCACGGAGAUUAGUGCUCUGUGAGUAAAGGAGAAAUCCGCUUUGGGAGGGGCCUGCGUACCAUCAGCUAGUUGUGAGGUAAUGGCUCACCAAGGCGACGACGGUUAGGGGGCCUGAGAGGGUGGCCCCCCAACUGGCACUGAAACACGGGCCAGACACCUACGGGUGGCAGCAGUAGGGAAUAUUGCACAUGGGCGAAAGCCUGAUGCAGCAACGCCGCGUGAGCGAUGAAGGCCUUCGGGUUGUAAAGUCUUUUUGGGGAGAUGAGGAAGGACAGUAUCCUCAGAAUAAGGAUCGGCUAACUACGUGCAGCAGCCGCGGUAACACGUAGGAUCCUAGCGUUAUCCGAAUUUACUGGGCGUAAAGCGGUGCAGGCGGUUUGAUAAGUUGGAUGUGAAAGCUCCUGGCUCAACUGGGAGAGGCCGUUAAAACUAUCAGACUUGAGGAUGGUAGAGGGAGGUAGAAUUCCCGGUGUAGUAGUGAAAUCGUAGAUAUCGGGAGGAAUACCAGUGGCGAAGGCGGCCUCCUGGACCAUUCCUGACGCUAGACACGAAAGCUAGGGUAGCGAAUGGGAUUAGAAACCCCAGUAGUCCUAGCCGUAAACAUGUGAACUUGGUGUCGGUGGGGUAAAAGCCAUCGGUGCCGAAGCUAACGCGAUAAGUUACCGCCUGGGGACUA
RNAcentral lists this ribosomal RNA (842 nucleotides) under uncultured Chloroflexota bacterium. RNAcentral's name for it is "bacterial SSU rRNA". It matches the Rfam family "Bacterial small subunit ribosomal RNA", at positions 9 to 882 of the family's 1533-position model. The record is from RNAcentral. Lineage: Bacteria; Bacillati; Chloroflexota.